AUGGUUAUAUCAAAUUGGAACACCAGUUCUCAUAUGAUCACCAAAGUUAAGCAAUUAUCGAGCCUGGUCAAUACCUAGGUGGGUGAUCACUUGGGAAUACCAGGUGCUGUAA
This is a non-coding RNA of Acanthosepion pharaonis, 112 nucleotides long. The record is from the annotation of a GenBank genome assembly. Lineage: Eukaryota; Metazoa; Mollusca; Cephalopoda; Sepiida; Sepiidae.